UACGUAGGGUGCGAGCGUUGUCCGGAAUUAUUGGGCGUAAAGAGCUUGUAGGCGGUCUGUCGCGUCUGCUGUGAAAAUCCGGGGCUCAACCCCGGACUUGCAGUGGGUACGGGCAGACUAGAGUGUGGUAGGGGAGACUGGAAUUCCUGGUGUAGCGGUGAAAUGCGCAGAUAUCAGGAGGAACACCGGUGGCGAAGGCGGGUCUCUGGGCCGAAAUUGACGCUGAGGAGCGAAAGCGUGGGGAGCAAACAGG
RNAcentral lists this ribosomal RNA (253 nucleotides) under uncultured bacterium. Its description in RNAcentral is "partial 16S ribosomal RNA". It matches the Rfam family "Bacterial small subunit ribosomal RNA", at positions 524 to 776 of the family's 1533-position model. The record is from RNAcentral.